This 322-nucleotide ribosomal RNA is filed under the name uncultured eukaryote. Its description in RNAcentral is "partial 18S ribosomal RNA". It matches the Rfam family "Eukaryotic small subunit ribosomal RNA", at positions 1470 to 1796 of the family's 1831-position model. The record is from RNAcentral.
CCCUUAGAUGUUCUGGGCCGCACGCGUGCUACACUGAGUGGAUCAGCGGGUCAGGUUGCGCGAAAGCGUUUCCUAAUCUUUAAAUCCGCUCGUGAUGGGGAUUGACGGUUGCAAUUUUUUGUCAUGAACGAGGAAUACCUUGUAAGCGCGGGUCAUCAUCCCGCGCUGAAUACGUCCCUGCCCUUUGUACACACCGCCCGUCGCUCCUACCGAUUGAGUGGUCCGGUGAGGCUUUGGGAUCUGAGCGGAAAGAGCGUUUCGCUGUUUCUGCUCGGAAAACUCAGUCGAACCUUAUCAUUUAGAGGAAGGAGAAGUCGUAACA